Dama dama (fallow deer) is the source of this 1880-nucleotide RNA transcript. It is a transcript of the gene named zinc finger AN1-type containing 2A, with no coding region annotated. NCBI's taxonomy places the organism in Eukaryota, Metazoa, Chordata, Mammalia, Artiodactyla, Cervidae. The record is from RefSeq and is a predicted model, not a curated record. The transcript is spliced from 7 exons.
GCCCGGAAGGGGGUAGCGGUCGGGCCCGGCGGCUACGGAUAAAUGGCCCGGAGGCCGGGCGCCGGGAUGCUGCUCCUCGGUGGGCACGGGCCGGCCGCGAUUGUUGUUUGGGUUCUGUUCUCCGCGUCCCUUUGGCCUUGUUCGCCACGGACAGGAGGCUCAAGCUCUCGGCCUCCGCCGCCUUCCUCUCUCCUCGGCGGCUGCCCGGGCCUCUUGGAGGGGCCGGGUCGGGGACGCCGGGCGGGGGUCCGGCCGGGCCGCAGACCUCGGACGGCAGGGCGCCCGUGUCCCAGUACACCGGGGCUCUUGCUCCGCGGACGCAGCGCCGACAGCGCGACCACGGAGGGAUUGAGGUGACGUUUUACUCUGACAUCUGUGUUUUGGACACGUUCUUACAAUGGAGUUCCCUGAUUUGGGGAAGCACUGUUCAGAAAAAACAUGCAAGCAGCUAGAUUUUCUUCCGUUAAAAUGUGACGCGUGUAAACAAGAUUUCUGUAAAGAUCAUUUUACCUACGCUGCACAUAAGUGUCCCCUUGCAUUCACCAAGGAUGUUCGGGUCCCGGUGUGCCCACUCUGUCACAGCCCUGUCCCAGUGAAGAAGGGGGAGAUCCCCGAUGUGGUGGUCGGUGCGCACAUGGAUGGAGAAUGUCGGCGUCCCCCCGGGCAGGAGACGGCGAAGGUGUUUACGUUCCGCUGCUCCAGAGAGGGCUGCAGGAGGAGGGAGAUGCUGCGGGUGGCGUGUGAGGAGUGCCGCGGCAGCUUCUGCCUCCAGCACAGACACCCUCUGGACCAUGGCUGCGCCCGUGGAGGCCACCCCGCCAGCUCAGCCGGGAGGAGUGGAAGCCAGGUCCCCUGCCGCCGUCUCUGACCGUCUCCCGUGUUGUCUGCCUGAGCCAGGCGGAGGGUCCUCUUGUCCCUGCGCGUGUGGCCUCCAUGCUAGAGAUUCAAAGUAAAGCCAUGACGUGACCGAUCCUGCCCAGACUGGCCUGUUCUCGUACGGUACCUGCACUUUGCGGGUGACUUCAUGCUCCAGCAGGUCCCUGCUUCCCACGCGAGCAGGUCUGGCCUGGGUGUCACUCAAGGGGCUUCUGUCACUCAAACCAUCGACAGCGGGUCACACGACAUCUUCCCCUGUGGCUGCUGUGGUGAUCGGCCAUCCGAGCCCAGGUGGAGGGGGACCGCCUCCCCCGUAGGGGUCUUGUCCAGGUGGCCCACCGCUCCUGCUGCACUGGGAGGACAGCCGUGACCCUCUGACUGCAGGCGUUGCGGUGACGCCAGGAGAGCCCUCGUCUCGUGGGGCCUCAGGAGCCAGGAAACCCGAUGGAGAGGAUGCCGUCCGGUUGGGUCCCCAUCAUGAGCCACGGGGCACACAGCCUGGAUGCCAGACAAAAACCCGCGCAGCCACCCCUUGUUUUCUGGGUCUAGAGCCUCAGGAUAUGAUGGAGGGGGCGGUGUGUUGGGUUCCCAGUCUGCAGGUGGGUGAUGCGGCUGUUUGUGGCCUCAUCUGAUUAGUGGUGGCAGGUCUAGGCCGCUGGCUCUCCAGAGGUGCCAGGGUUGCCCCCGCCCCCGCUGCGUUCCUGACACCGUGGGUCUCGGGGCUAUGCGCAUGAAGCACUUCCUGGGGUUCAGGUCCACUGGCGGUCACUAGCUGGUGUUCGGAAGCACUGGUGAGUGUCAGGAACUUGAGUGUGUGUUUCUCAACUGCAAGGUUCAUGACAUCUGUACACAGAUCAGGUCUUUCUCAGGAGAGGUUAAUGUCCAAACUGAGACUCGGUAGCGCUGGAUUUUGAAGACAACACCAAAAAAGAAAAAAAAUCUCGUUAAAAAUAUUUACAGGUUGAAAUAGUAUUUUGGAUACAAUGGAUUAAAUAAAGUAUUAA